Molecule: ribosomal RNA, 493 nt
Filed under: Streptomyces tauricus
Lineage: Bacteria; Bacillati; Actinomycetota; Actinomycetes; Kitasatosporales; Streptomycetaceae
Description: bacterial SSU rRNA
Rfam family: Bacterial small subunit ribosomal RNA
Source: RNAcentral
GUUUGAUCCUGGCUCAGGACGAACGCUGGCGGCGUGCUUAACACAUGCAAGUCGAACGAUGAAGCCCUUCGGGGUGGAUUAGUGGCGAACGGGUGAGUAACACGUGGGCAAUCUGCCCUUCACUCUGGGACAAGCCCUGGAAACGGGGUCUAAUACCGGAUAACACUUCCACUCGCAUGGGUGGGGGUUGAAAGCUCCGGCGGUGAAGGAUGAGCCCGCGGCCUAUCAGCUUGUUGGUGAGGUAGAAGCUCACCAAGGCGACGACGGGUAGCCGGCCUGAGAGGGCGACCGGCCACACUGGGACUGAGACACGGCCCAGACUCCUACGGGAGGCAGCAGUGGGGAAUAUUGCACAAUGGGCGAAAGCCUGAUGCAGCGACGCCGCGUGAGGGAUGACGGCCUUCGGGUUGUAAACCUCUUUCAGCAGGGAAGAAGCGAAAGUGACGGUACCUGCAGAAGAAGCGCCGGCUAACUACGUGCCAGCAGCCGCGGU